This 1416-nucleotide ribosomal RNA is filed under the name Triticum aestivum (bread wheat). RNAcentral's name for it is "partial small subunit ribosomal RNA". The record is from RNAcentral. Lineage: Eukaryota; Viridiplantae; Streptophyta; Magnoliopsida; Poales; Poaceae.
AUGGAGGAGGUCGCGGAUGGUUACGUGAACGAGCUAGUGCAACGGAACUUGUUGCUUGUCAAGUUGAAAAAUGAGUUUGGGCGUGCAAAGCGGUUACACAUUCACGACCUGAUCAGGGAGAUUGCUGCAUAUAGAUCAAAAGAAGAUGGAUACUUUCAGUUAUCUACAAGUGCAAGGGUGGACUUAAAACAGAAAAUCCGUUAUCGUACACUUUACCAGUGCCAAAAUGACCAUCAGUCAACUCCAAAUAUGCCCUCACUUCGCUCCUUCUAUGUGCUUAGAUCAGACCUAGAUGUUGCACUAUUUUCUCAUUUUAGAUUGUUAACUGUGCUAAAUCUUUGGUAUGUUAAGGCAUGUAAACUGCCUAGUGCAGUGGCCAAUCUUCCAAAUCUGUGGUACCUUGGCAUACGCUCCACCUACAUUGAAGAACUACUGAGAGAACUGGGGAGACUACGUGAUUUGCAAACUUUAGAUGCCAAAUGGUCCAGUAUCAAGGUAUUACCAAGUAUCAUAACCAAACGGAAGAACCUCCAGCACCUGAUAUUAUUUACACGUGGAACCACAGAUUUUAUGGAACCGGAAACUGGUACAACAGUUUCUCUUCCAGAUGGGCUUGAAAAUCUCAAAUGCCUGCAGACUCUUAAAUAUGUUCAAGCUGAUCAGAAGGUGGUCAAAUCCUUAGAAAGCUUGGAACAGAUGAGGAGCUUAGAGCUAUCUGGAGUAGACCAGAGAAUUCUUAUCGAUUUUCCCUUAGCAAUAUCCAAAAUGAGCUGCCUUCUGCGCUUGGGAAUAAUCAAUUCCGAUGCUAAUGUAACAUUGGACUUGGAGUCAUUUUCUCCAGCACCAGUGAAGCUAAAAACCCUCAAUGUAACUGGAAAGUUGGCAAGGGAUAAGCUACCAUCGUGGUUUGGUUCUCUUACCAACCUCAUACAUUUGCAUUUGCAUUCAUCUAAACUUGGAGAAGAUUCAAUUGCGCUACUCUCAUCAGUUCCCAGUCUGUUGCAUCUUAGUAUCAUCAAUGCAUGCAACGAGAGAAGCUUGACCUUUCCGGCAGGUUGUUUUCUAGUCCUUAGACAACUAAACCUACAGGGAUUGCCUAACCUUACCAGCAUAGAAUUUCAAAAGGACAGCCUUGCAGAUUUACGUCUACUGACGCUUGGUCUAUGUCUUGAACUCACCGAGAUACCCCGAAGCAUCGAGAACCUCAUACAUCUGGAAAAUGUGGAGUUGUUUCAGAUGCCAAGUAAGUUCAUAGAGAAGAUACCAUAUGGGAAAGGUCAUGGGGUAAAUCAUCAAGAUGGUCAGCGUAUUAUAGUUGUAAAGAACUUCUGGCAUAAUGCACGAUUGUUGGAGCAAAAAAUUUAUAUCAACCUAUCAAAUGUUCAAGAGUCUUUCAAGACGGAUGCAGUCACAUAA